Molecule: ribosomal RNA, 253 nt
Filed under: uncultured bacterium
Lineage: Bacteria
Description: partial 16S ribosomal RNA
Rfam family: Archaeal small subunit ribosomal RNA
Source: RNAcentral
UACCAGCACCCCGAGUGGUCGGGACGAUUAUUGGGCCUAAAGCAUCCGUAGCCGGUCCUACAAGUCUUCCGUUAAAUCCACCUGCUUAACAGAUGGGCUGCGGAAGAUACUACAGGGCUAGGAGGCGGGAGAGGCAAGCGGUACUUUAUGGGUAGGGGUAAAAUCCGCUGAUCCAUAGAAGACCACCAGUGGCGAAGGCGGCUUGCCAGAACGCGCUCGACGGUGAGGGAUGAAAGCUGGGGGAGCAAACCGG